This is a long non-coding RNA of Acipenser ruthenus (sterlet), 2404 nucleotides long. RefSeq lists it as uncharacterized. The record is from RefSeq and is a predicted model, not a curated record. Lineage: Eukaryota; Metazoa; Chordata; Actinopteri; Acipenseriformes; Acipenseridae. The transcript is spliced from 4 exons.
UCUAAGGAACCAGCCACCAUUAAUCACCUCCAGGUGCAGCAUUUCAGCUCACCUGUAGGAGAUCAAUUGUAUUAGAUCAGCCUAUAUAUAAAGAGAAAAGGGAAGAGGGACCUAGCAGGAGAGUCCACUGCACAGAGGAGUCCACUACCAAGGAAAGGAUAAAGCCAGAUGAAGCACCACAAUGCAGAAACAAGAGAGGAUGAACAUUGGAAAUUAACCAGAGAGCUGUGAGGAGCGGAGUUCAGUGGCGUGGUCAUGAUUGCACUCCAUGGCUGUGUCUGCUGUACCCACACUGUGAAUAAGCAGAUGUCUUCAAACUCCAUUGCUGUCAACUUGAUACCUUUAAAGAUGCACCAAGACCAUGCAAAAAUGCAGAACACAAAAAGACUUUCCAGUUCUGUGCAUGCAACAUCCUUACACCACCGGUCAAUGUUCUCCGUCUAUCAUGUGAUUGGUUCACAUCACUGUCAAUCCCUCCCCUUUUCAAAGGAACACCUUUCUCCCCUGCACUCUUCACAAGAGAAAAUGGCUGAACACCGAUUCUGAUGAAGCAAGAAAAAAACAGCCCUUGGCUUUUGCCUUUGAAAGACAGCCUUUGUGAGGCAGUCUCGAGCUGCUUCAGUCACUCACCAAGGCUCCAGCAUACUUUUCAUCAAAAGAAAUGUAAAAUCUAACAGGGCCUAUUCAUGCCCUGCCAGCCCUGGUUGUGCUGAUGCUAUAUAAUAUCAGCCCUGUGCUGGCUGGAGAAUUUGUGGAAUUCCAAGUAGGGAAGAAAAACGAGGACCCAGGCUGUUUCUUUGUAAACGUACUGCAUGCUUCUUUUUUUGUGUGUGUGUCUGUGCGUUACAUUUUGAUAAACAAACAACUAGAUUAACUUAAAGGGACGGGGUGUUGAUUUGGAAAGAAAUGCACACACUUUGUAAUUAUUAUUAGUAUUAUCCCAUGAUAUGUGUUGGUAUUAAUUAAUUAUUACUGUUUCUGCAUAUCUGAUAUGUAUCAUAACGUCAGCAGCUUAUUUAACCUUCCUCAGAGCAAGCCUAAGAAAGCUGGAAUUGUGUAAUAAGGCCAAAUAUAAAAAAGACCACUAGGGGUGCACUCAGAUGUGCCGGAGCCAAGGGGGCCAUGGCCCACUCACUUUUUGACAAAAGAAGCAUGCACAGUUGAAAAAAAGGUGCUUGUAUAGCACACAAUGUUUAGUUGUGGUUAUAAUCUGUCUCCUACAUAAAAUGAGGCUCUGAUUAUAUCUUAUAAGAAUCUACCGUACUAUCCUGAUGUCUAAUGCUACUGCUGAGUGCCUUCGACAGCUGAAAACAUAUGUACGAUCAUCCAUGACUAAGGUUGCAUUUUUUUCAUGGUUAUCAUAGAUUUUACAGUUUCCAUGGAAAUGUACCUAUUGCCAUGCAAUAUGUAGUUCUCUCUGAAAAUUCCAAUUUCUUAAAGAAUAGUGUAAAUUUGCAUAUUUGUAUCACUUAAAAUAAGUACAGAAAACAUUUGCCUUACUGACAUACUACUAGUUACACUGAAUUUAUGAACCUGGGAGCUGGUUUAGUUUGCUUCCGGUAAAUGAUUGAACACACUGCAUAAAGCUGCACGAUUUCUUAAAAAUGUCUUCAACGAAAAAGACACCAGCUGCAUCAAAGAUUGGACAUAUUUCUGCUAAAGAUCACUGUGUCCAGUACAAAAAGGGGACAUUUCACUUGACUGUUGUUAUUUUUACAUUUAUUAAUGUUUUUAUUUUGUUUGAUAAUUCACUGAUGGUGAAAAUAGAAUGUCUUUAAACGUUGGACAUAAAAAAAAAAAUACUACAAUUCAGCAAUUAAUAUUUUUCAGGUAAGCAUUUAAAUAUUUAGAACAUUUGUUUUAUAAGAUAACUCUAGAGAAAACAAAUGUGACAACGCAGUUUUUGCUUUAAUACAUAGUAUGCUUAAUCAUGAAAUACCUAUUUUCAGACCUUGAAAUGCCAUGAAAUAACCCUGUCCAUAACUGAACAGCGUUUAAACCACCUCCUCUUCUUCCAUAUUCAGAAACUUGACUGAUUCUCUAGAUCUUAAAAUGUUUUUUGUAACUUUUGUGUUGCCAGAGGCUCACACCAUAUUUUUUGGAAAUAUGCGAAAACGUACAAUCCAGUGUUAACAUUAAAUUGUACAUAAAGGUUUUAUAUACAAGUGGCAUUGUCAAAGCCUGUAUACUGCAGUUUACUGAUAGGUUGUGCUUCUGUAUGUAACAGCCAUGUGUGUCUGUUUCUGAAUAACAGAGUAAAUUGUAAUAAUAAGCGUAAGUUCUGGUAAAGUUUGCAGUUUUGUAUUUAUUUAUUUUUUUGACAAAAUGAAUAUGUCUAAUAUUAUGUUAUGGUUGAAUUUUGUAAUCUGGUUAUUUAUUUUACAGUUUUACUUUGUGGGAUGUU